Molecule: ribosomal RNA, 497 nt
Filed under: uncultured bacterium
Lineage: Bacteria
Description: partial 16S ribosomal RNA
Rfam family: Bacterial small subunit ribosomal RNA
Source: RNAcentral
GAUGAACGCUGGCGGCGUGCCUAAUACAUGCAAGUCGAGCGAACGGACGAGAAGCUUGCUUCUCUGAUGUUAGCGGCGGACGGGUGAGUAACACGUGGAUAACCUACCUAUAAGACUGGGAUAACUUCGGGAAACCGGAGCUAAUACCGGAUAAUAUUUUGAACCGCAUGGUUCAAUAGUGAAAGACGGUCUUGCUGUCACUUAUAGAUGGAUCCGCGCUGCAUUAGCUAGUUGGUAAGGUAACGGCUUACCAAGGCAACGAUGCAUAGCCGACCUGAGAGGGUGAUCGGCCACACUGGAACUGAGACACGGUCCAGACUCCUACGGGAGGCAGCAGUAGGGAAUCUUCCGCAAUGGGCGAAAGCCUGACGGAGCAACGCCACGUGAGUGAUGAAGGUCUUCGGAUCGUAAAACUCUGUUAUUAGGGAAGAACAAAUGUGUAAGUAACUGUGCACAUCUUGACGGUACCUAAUCAGAAAGCCACGGCUAACUACGUG